GAGGGUAGAGCUCAGUGGUAGAGUGUGUGCUUAGCAUGCAUGAGGUCCUGGGUUCAAUUCCCAGUACCUCCA
This 72-nucleotide transfer RNA is filed under the name Camelus bactrianus (Bactrian camel). It matches the Rfam family "tRNA". Rfam says of the family: Transfer RNA (tRNA) molecules are approximately 80 nucleotides in length. Their secondary structure includes four short double-helical elements and three loops (D, anti-codon, and T loops). Further hydrogen bonds mediate the characteristic L-shaped molecular structure. tRNAs have two regions of fundamental functional importance: the anti-codon, which is responsible for specific mRNA codon recognition, and the 3' end, to which the tRNAs corresponding amino acid is attached (by aminoacyl-tRNA synthetases). tRNAs cope with the degeneracy of the genetic code in two manners: having more than one tRNA (with a specific anti-codon) for a particular amino acid; and 'wobble' base-pairing, i.e. permitting non-standard base-pairing at the 3rd anti-codon position. RNAcentral also lists the same sequence under 2 other names. The record is from Rfam by way of RNAcentral. Lineage: Eukaryota; Metazoa; Chordata; Mammalia; Artiodactyla; Camelidae.